UUUUUUUUUUUUUUUUUUUUUUUGUGCUAUGUAUUUCACUGCUGCCAGAACAGCAGAGCAAAAGAACAUAGCUGGAGGAGAAGAUGUAUGCCAAGAUGUCCCUGCAAUGUGAUGGCCCUCAGAAGUGUCACCUUGGUUAUGCAGCCACAAACGAAAACUAGAAGCCUAUUGCUUUUUCCUAACUCAUGGAUAAAUUCUUGGAAGUCUCUUACUUUUGAGCACCCUACAGACUCAGAAAUGAUAAGACAUUUAAAAAAUAACCCUUGAAAGUACUUUUAAUGUCAUGACAUCUGAGAUAAUCACACAGCUUCUGUGACCUUGACUGAUGCUCUUAAGAGAUUGAAAAUGCUCAGAUGGGGGUAUAUAGUCAUGUAAAAGAAAAAUUACUUGGAAUGUAAGAAACACAAUAUUUUAGAUCAUCAGCCUCUAAGAGUAAGACACAGCACAACUCAGGAGUAGACAAGUAAAUGGUCAGCACAGAUUUCUGGACAGCUUCUAGUGCUGGUUCAGAUCAAUCACUGUGGCUGGAGUCAGCACAAAGGCUGGGAACUGAUUGAGAUACUGAUCUAAACAAAUGCUGUUAUGUGGCCUCAUUCAGGUAUCUUAAGAGGGAAGAGGCUUCGCUUCCUUAAUUGGCCAUGUUGGUCAAAGAUGCUGUUGUAGGUACUCAAUGCAUUUGUUCUGAGUGAAAUCUGCCAGGGUGUGUGCAAGGCAUGGCAUGUACAAGGGCAUGUUUAGGAAUCAGGCUGACAGUAGGGAUGAGAGGAGGGAAGCAUGUAGUGCAGAUGAAAAGGCAGUGACAGCUUGAGAUGAACAACAGGAAGGAAUAAUGGUGAGAUAUGAAUAAUUUGUAGAGGUCUGCAGAUUCCUUGGCAUCUGCAAGGAGGCAAAAUGUUGGCAUGUUAAAAAGUGCCUAUUGUAAUUCUUUUAAUGAUACUGCUCUGCGUUAGCUGCUGUGGAAUGUGCUAUCAUUCCAGAUUUCUUCAUAGUUCUGUAAAGAAACCUAAUUUAAUUUUAUAAUUAAACACAUUUUACAAAAGUGACAAUUACUAGCAUCAUACAUUUUUGUUUAAUGACAAAUUAGAUCUCAGAAUGUAAUAUCUUGAGAGUUUUUGUUUUAAUUUAUUUUUUUUAAUCACAGAUUUCCAUUAGGAAUAGAUAAAUAAAAUAUGUACCUCCGUGAACUACUAAAAAUAAUAUGCAACAGUGAGGGAUAUGAGGGCUUUGCUAUUUCCAAGCAUUUCAAAUUAAAUACUUUAAAACUGGGAUGCCAUUGGCAAAAUGUCUAGGUCUCCUGCCUCAGUACUAUGAAAUUAGUUUGUAGCAAAAUCCUACUAUGUCUCAUCAUGUGUAUUCUUUGUUUUCAGUUUUGUCACUUAUCUUAUUUUCAUUGGGGGUUUUAUUUUCUAUGAAUAAACACUGAAUAGCUAUAUUUAUGUAUCCUUAAAAACCACUGUAAAUUAACAUAAUACCACUGAAGAUAAUGAAGCUGAGCAGGGCUCUAACAGCUGAGAUUAGAUACCCUUCUUUGUGCAAAAGAAAUGUCAGUGUAGGACAGGGACUUCAUCUUGAUGAGAGAGUGGUGUAACGUUUUGGGAUGUGAGCCAGAAGCCAGCCAGUGUAAAACUCAGCCUGUGCAAAGCAUUAUAUUCCCUCCAUAUCCCCUUUGCUCUUUCCCUUCUGUAGCUGAAAAAGGAGCACUGCCAACAGCCCCAUUACAACUGGGAAAAGAGAUCUCUUUAAAGAUUUAACCUCUUGUUUUUCUGCAUGUUGGCUUCUGUUCAUUUAAAUAAAUAAAUAAAUAAAAGCUCCCAUUAGUGUUGCGUAAUCAGCCUGCAAUCAGAAACACAAAAGGAAAAUACUGACUGGCUUUUGAACUACAUGUUGUCUCUACAAGUUCUCAAAGAAUUACAUAUUCUUUGUUCUCUUAAAAGGCAGUAUGGCUGUCUCUGGUCUGGUAAUAAAUAAAAAAGGCUAUUGAAUCUUUGUCUAAAAGCUGUGCAAGAACUAGGUGUGUACCUAUUUUUGUGCUUUGGGUACCUGAAUGCUGAAAAACCUAUUAAUACUAAAAUAGAUCACAGAGGUUUAAAAGAUUGAAAGAUAGGCCAAGUGGUUGCUAAGCUUUAGAUUUACAGAUGUCUUUGAAGACCUGACUGAAAUCAUAAUGAUAAAGGAUUUUUUUGCUUAGCAUGCCUGCUACGGUUUUCUCAGACAUCAAGUAUUUUAGGCUCUGUCCAUACUUCUGUUCUGAACUCAUGGCAGCAUAUUCCUGGGGCUGGUUUCUACCCACUUGCCCACAGUGGUGGUAUUUUGUUUUACACAGCAGUAUAAGAAAGGAUUAUACCUCUUAUUUUUCUAAAUGGUGAAAUCUAGAAUCACCAGCAGUUUAAACUCAGUUUAAUUUAAAAACAAUAAUCUUAAAUUUGAAACACAAGCAAAAUUGAAAUAAAUAUUUAAAUCGGACAGUAUCAAAGUUGAUUGUCAUACCAUAUGUUAGCAAGUAAAGGUGAGGCAGUUUGACAAGUAGUUGCAGUGUGUUGUUUUUACCAAUUGGUUAAUUUUCUUUUUUCUUUUAAAGUGCACGGCAGCCCAUGGCUGCCAUUUCUGCUGCUUGUGCUUCAGUACAGGCCAGCUGAACAGAACAUCUAGCUAAGAUCAACAAUGAGAUUAGGUCUUAUUUAGAAAACAUCAUAUAAACCAGCCAAGUAAGCCAAACAGACAAAAGUAAUGUGAACAAAAAACCGCGACUUGAACUCACAGUGAUCUUUCAAGCAAGAUAAGAGAAUGAAUUAAUUAGUCUAACCUUUAGCUGGAAUUGCAAAGCAUUUACCUGCAUACAACUUCAAGGCUUUUGUCUAUGUGGAAACAGUUGACUCCUUAGUGAGGGCUGAGAUGUUCUGAAAGAGGCAUUCUUUGUGUAUUUUCUUGAAUCUGUAGACGUACCAGCUGUAAUGCUUUGCUGAUUUCCUAUCACAGGCUUACUUUAUGAUAGUGGCACCUGAAAAACAGGAUUCUGAAUUGCAUCGUACAAAGUAAGAUUUCCUUACUCUUGGCAAUUUUUCUGUAGCAGAUGUUAGAGAAAUUACAAUGCCACAAAAUUACAGGUGUUCUUUUGUUCUGCCCAAAUUUGAUAUUGAUGUUUUAGAACUCAAUCCCCAGAGACUCAAUGAAUAGGUGGUUUUUAAAAACAGUAGAGUUUCUCCCUGGCUCUUAAAGCUAAUCUAUGUCUGUUUUAAUGUGCAUGAGCUAGCUUAUAGCUCUCUUGCCUCCAGCCUUCUACAGCUAGCAUUAGGCCAUCAGCAAGAAGGGUGAGUAUGAGAAAAUUACUUUUGAGAUCCCUAAAGUUAUAAAUUCUAUCCCAUUUGAUAAACAGAGCUGAGAUUACAGGUCUGAGGGACAUGUAUCUUAGCCUGUUAUUCCCCAAGCAGAUACCUUAACAUAGAUGAAUUAGGGCAUGAUAUUUUGGAGCCCCAGAGCUACCACAUUUCCACUGGAAUUCCUCCUCCAAAUUAAUAGUUUGGAGAAGGGGGAAAAAAGAAGAAGAAAAGAAAAAAUAGGAGUUUAAAGAGAUGCCUGACUUUCUAUUGGUGACUUGUCCCUUCAAGAAUGAAAUUAUCCCAUCAGGACGUGAGGAAAAAAAUAAUCUAACUUGGUGCAGACAAAAUAAGUUUCCCAUAGAAUACAAAGGAAGGGUGAGUUUAAGAUUAUAACUGAAAAAGGCUGUACUUGACCAGAGCAAAAGACCAUUCUGCUCAGUGUGCUGUUUCCAGUGGUUGCGGUAUAUGAACACUUAGGUAAGGGUACAAACAGUGUAAAAAUAGGAUUCUUCCUCUAAUCGCUUUCUCUGCCUCAGGACUGAGCUAGAUGCAUUUAGCAAAUUUAAAUAGAUUUCUUUUCCAUUAGGUUUUUCAGUCUUCCCCAGAGUCCAUGUAAAAUUUAGAAUCUAUUAUGUCCCUUGGCAAGGAGUUCAACAAGGUUGUUAGUCCUUUUUUUAGGUGCCAUUUUUAGCAUUUUUUUUUCACCCUGGCUCCUGUCAUCUCUUUUCUAAACUGAAAAGUCCUUGUUUACUUACUUAUUCUAUGCUUGAAAACAUUCCACUCCUGUAAUCAUCUUCACUUGCCUUAUCUAAUUUUUUUGUUAUUAUCUUUGUUAGGGGACAAGAGCUGCUCAUUGUGUUGAAGAUAGGGACAGACACAAAUUUAGAUACUAACUUAUGAAUCCAAGUUGGUGUAAUCAUAUUUUAAAGAUGCUUACCUUUUUCUGCAACUAUAACAGGUUCUGUUUUGUUCUCUGAUUCUCAGAGAGAGAUUUUGAAGUUUGCAUUUCAAGCACAGAAAUAUUAUAAAUAAAUUACGAGCAUAUUAACUGAAUGUUUACAAGUCAUAGCAAAAAUCUUCAGGCACUGCUCUACAAAGCAAAGCCUCUGUUUACAAAGAAGAGAAUACAAAUAAGCACUCCAUUGAAAUUUUGUCAACAUCAAGUUUAUUUUUUUCUUAGUAUCAAAACUUGAUACGAGUUUUCAACUUUGUCACAAAGAAAAAUAGGCAAAUUUUCAAGACAAAGUAGGGAAUUAAUAGCUUGUAAAUCAAUACAAAUACUAACAGAGCAGCAGCAGCUUCUCUAUUCUGACCAGUAAUGCAACUUUGCUUCAGAGUCAGCUGUGUACUUCUGAAAUUUUUACACUGUUUUUUAAUCUGCACAAGAUGUUGCUUGCUAAAUCUGAAAGUAGAAUCACCUCUGGAUUUUGCAUGGCAUUGCACAAAGACAAACAGGGAAAAAAAAGGGUACCAGAAGAUCUAAGAGAUCUGAUUAACUCUUUAAAUAUUCAAGAGCUCUUACCUAGCUCCAGGAAUAUAUUAAAUGCUGUGUACUGCCGAGAUUUGUGCUCCCUGUCUCUGUUUCUCUCUUUAUAGAAAGGUUUCUCACAUAUAUGUGGGUAAAAUACACUUGAUACUAAGAUUCCUUGUCUGUGCAAACAUUAAUAUGCUUUGAGAAGGAACAUUUUCUGCUUAGAUUGCUGUUCUGUAGCUCUUAGUGUUGUUUCCUGUGUAAUCAUCUGGUGUAAUCAUCCUAUAUCAAGAAGAUAAUAACUCAGUCUAGUUUCUGAACACAUAACUGUAUGUCAAUAGAAAGGAGGAGAUUAUACAAAGUAGAGGAUAUGCUUCCUAAAAAUUGCUUUAUCGCGCUGUGGACUUUGCUGGACACCUGAAAAUAUUCACUUUUUAAAGUUACCUAUGUACAACUUUUCCUCAUUUGUUUUGCUUAGAUGUUUAAGCCCUAUUUCCAAAUUAAGCAGUUCACUGAAUGCACUUGAUACUGUUAAAUAUUUAACAAUAAAUAUCUAACUAUUUCCCAAAUAGUUAGAUUAGACCACAUUAGAUUAGUUAGAUUAGUCCACAUUCCCUGACUGUGUACAGAUCAGUCACACAUACUUGUAGUGUGUCAUAAGAAUUACAGUAAGGAGGGGGAUGCAGAAAUCUCUGGCCUCUGUGAUGCCAUGAAAGACAGAUCCUUGAGUAAUCUGAGUUUUUCACAUUGGCUUGAAUGUGAUGGCUUGAAGUUCUUGGCUGUCUGACAUACAGUUGACAAGACAGCACAGAAUGAGACCCUCUGGUUUUUAAUCACAUAAAAAUCCUGUAUUGCAAACAAACUAAACUCUCUAGAUCACAAGAACGAUGCAUGGUUGCCAUGACAGAAGUCUAUAAGCAUUUGGCAACCUUCAACCUUCAAAGAGCCUACUGGAUUCAAGAAAGCCGAAGGAUCCAUCUGUGACAUGGCUGUCAAAGUGGUGUAGUGGAGAGGGUUCAUCCUCUGACUGGUCAUCAUAUAAGAAUUCUCAACCCAUAUGAGUUGCUAACACAGCAAACACAUUGCAUUUACUGUUGCUGUACCAAUGGUUUUGACCACAGUGACAAAUCACAUCUGCUGCUUAACUGCAUGUGUGAAGGUAGAGCUGAGCUCCGGCUCAACAGGGCGUGACAGACUGUUUCAAGUCUAUCACAUGUGUUGAAAAAUACUUUGUUUUUCAAAUUGCACACAGUGAUAAAGAGGACCCUAACUUCUUCAUUGUAAAGGAUGAAGCAGCAAAAAAAUUGCUAAUUAUAGAAGACAGAACUUCUCAAUUUCUGCUAGCAGGAUUGGAGAAGUCUUCAGUCAGGGCAGAGGGAAAAGACUGAAAAAUCCAGAAUCAAACAUGGGAUUAGAAGAAAGAGGUCAGAAAGGAUAUUGCUUGGGUAGCAAUCUCUUAGAAUAUUCCAUAAAUGUGUCUCUGCUUUAUGUUUGACAGUGGACAGCUUGUUCCCCCAUUCAGGUUGGAAGUUAAAGAUGCCAGAUUUCUACUGUGAAAAUGCAAAGAAUGGAGGAUGUAUGCAUAUAUCAGAAAGUAGUGUGUAUAUAUAUAUUUAUUCUCAAUAUGGGCCUUCCAGCAUGAAAGUCCAGGAUUAAAUUCAUUACCAUAAGUAUCUCUUUCAAAAUGUAUUAGAAAGUCUAUUUUCAGAGUGCAAAACAGCAACAAAAGUCCAUUUCCCAAGCAAUUUCCCCUGUGCUUUAUUGAGAGUAGGAAUGUAUGGUUUUGUGUGUUUGGGAUAUUGAAGGAGCAGCUCAUGUCUCCAGAGGUGAUUGAAGCAUUGGAAUUUAUUUUGAAGUAAUGAGCUUGGAAGAAAAAGAUGGAAAGAGAGUUCUGUCAUUGCUGAAAGUCUUAUAGAAGGAGGGGAGGGUGCUGAGAGUUGAAGAAAAAGUGAGACUACCAGCAAAGGCAAAGGCAGCAUUCUGUCUGACCUUUUCCUCAUGAUCAGUGGGACAUCUUCUCAGUGUUGUAUUCUCCUUUUUAUUUUUUUAGAGCUCCCUCCACCAUCCAGUGCCCUCUUGCUUCUCCUGCUGUUCUCUGUAGCAAUUUAUUGUCCCAGGGAGAAAACCAAAGAGCAGCAGGGAGACAGUGUUUGCUGCAUUGUGGGAUCCAGUGUCAUCCACACUGAAGAGCAUGAAUUCAGCUAGCAGAGGAGUUUGGAUCUGUUUGGUUCUAUGUGCAACACCAGGAUGACUUGGAUAGGAAGCAAAGAACACUGCUGGGAAAGCUUUUAUAUAUGUUCUUAAGAGGGAAAAUAAGCGUUUGCUUAUCUGCUGUGUUUAAUUGAGUUGGGAUUAUAAUUGCUCGAGUUUUCAUUCCCGACUGCUUUUGUAAUGGGAACAGUGUUUGCAGUGUGUUUUAGUCUUCCCGGGCUUCACUAUGUGCAUUAAUCUAGCUUUAUGAAGGAUUUACAUUUUAUAUUUUCUCAUAAUAUUUUUUUAUAAGUAACAAAAAGCUCCCCAAGUAAGCCCACCAGGCAAGGCUAUGGACAGUUAAAAGAAAAGGAUAGCUGUCGCAGUAAGGAUUUGUACAGUGAAUGUAGCAAGGUUGGCAAGAAAAGUCAGAAAACUAUUUAUGCUCUCUAAGGGUAACUAAUGGUUUAAUAGUAGAUGGCCUGAAGAAAAUAAUGGAUAUAAAUAAAGUAUGCUUUUAUUCCCCAGCAAAAAAGAUAGAAGAAGAAAAAAUGAAAAAGAAGAAAGAGGCCAAUAGUAUGAAAAGAGCUUUAAAGAUGGAAAAAUGUACAUCAGGGAAAGAGGAGUUGUUCAGUUUAUGCCACCAUUUUAAUAGACCUAGAGGAUUUCAUUUGACUUGUAACCUUUUGACACAAGCCAAGAUUUCCUAUUUUGGAUAAUAAAUGUAUGUUGGAUGAGUAAAUGCCUCUUGUAUCUAGAUACAAAUGCCACUUUUAUGUUGGAAAAUGUAGUGGGUUAUGUACAGUAGUGUUGUUGAUAUCAAUGGAUAAAAAUAAGUGGAUUAGUUCUGAAAAUAAUGAUGAAUACUGUUAUGGAAAUAUCCCGUGAAAUAAUGAACUGGGGGAUGUGAAAUGUAUCUACAUGUGGAACAAACUGAAAUAUGAUUUUUUAAAUUAUUUAACUGGAUUCCUCUCUCACCUUUCCUAUCUAUCUAUACAAACAUAACCUCAUACAGUAUUAAAGAAAGAGGGAGAGUCCAAAGUUUAAAUAAAAUUCUCCAUGGUCAUAAACUAACCUGUAGCAUUGGAAAAAUAGGAAGAAAUAUUACUUGAGGAAAAACUAUUCUGUAAAUAACUAAUGCACAGUGCUGCAUCUUUUGCUGAAACUGUUACUGCCUGUAAGCUGCACUAGAUGGGCAGAACAUUUAGGGUUUCAUCUUUGUUGCAGUGUUUUGGUUGACUAUUUUAAUCUUUUGAGACCUUGACUAUUUCAUAUUUUUGAUAUUUCCCACAUUUAAUAUCUAUCUAAUCAAAGCAUGAGCCUUGAAAGUUGCAUUUGCUAAGGCAUUAAUUAUUUCCUUUCUAACAAACAAAAAAAUACAUCAUCUAUCACUGAUAUUCACAGAACAUUAACUAAGUUUUAGUUCAUCCAAAUUUAUCCUGAGGCUCAAGUCAUUCUUAAACCCUGUACUAGUCAAUCAAGUCCACUUUAAAAUUCAGAUCAUCCAUUUUAUGGGUUUCCCUUGGUGCUAUUUGUCAGAAGAUUUAAAGUCACUUGAAAAUUUGUACACCAUGGUAAACCUCAGUUAUCAAUUGCCAUUUUUUUCUUUGCCUGCACCUUUUUUUCCCCUCUAAAGCAAUUAUCACCCAUUUCUAUACAUACUAACUUCUUGAUAUGAUUCAUGAUGGCUAUUUUUAAAAUAUAUGGUGAUCAUUGUGCAUCAUGAAGAUGAGAGCCUUUACCCACGUUUGAGAUUAUGAAAUGUUUUGAGAAAAGCUCCUAUUCUUUCUCUGUAUCAGUAAAUCUCGCAUAUCACUUCCACAAACACAUACAUCUCCUCACAUCCCAAUGCUUCUAGGACCUUGGAGCCAAAGUCCUGCGCAGAUUUAGACCAGCUGUAAAAGUAAAAUAUUUAAAAUAUUUUAAUCUAUUGAUAAGAAGGUCCAAAGAAUGGAUCUUACCCAUUUUUUCCCUUAAAGUCAAAUUGAACGUAUCUUACAUUGUAGGUUUCCAGCAACUUAUUUUGAAUCUAUGUAUGCUUUCAAAGGACUAUUAUUUAUAAACUGUUUUCUUACUUUGCUACUUUUUGUAAUGGAUCAGGGUGUAGAAAUACUGAGGCUGUAUAGGAAAUUGGGCUACUUGCUGGCUGGGAAGCAAUUCAUAUUAGCUACUGUCUACUUCAUCUCCUCUUAUUGUUUGGAGUGGAAAUUAACUCUCCAAUACCUACAGUGCCAUAGGAAACAUAAUCUACUUUUUUAAUAGCUUGUAGAUCAAAUAGCUCAACUCAGGGAAAUGGGUUCCAAUAAAAGCUCCAUUUUUUUAUGCUGGGCAGCAAAUCCAUAUUAUAGAAGCUAUCUUCAUUACUCAUUGGUAUAUAUUGGUAUAACUUAAAGUUUCCUUCAAGCAGUGUUAACAUUUGAUGAUGGAAAAUGAAGGCCAAUAAGCUGUACAGGGUACGUGCUUUGUAAAAUAAAUUGGCCUCUUGGGAACAGGAGAGCUACAACUUCAGUGAUAACGAUUAUGUUUUUAUGGCCCAAGACAGAAAUAAAAUGUUGAAAUGGAAAAUUAAUGCAAAAGCUUAGUAGGAAAAUUAUCAAAAUCUUAGAAUCACAGCAUGUAAAAAGUCAUUGUAAUAUAUCAAAAAAUCUGUUUAUGAAUGAUCAGUUACAGAGAAGCUGAGAGUAAUAAAUAAGGUUAUACUUUCCCAUUCUCACUGGCUAAAAAAUCUUUUUAAUGAAAAUGUGCAUUAUGUGGGUUUUGCUUCCUUUUUUCUCAGGUUCAAUUUUCCUUGUUGCUUAAGGUAAUUGAAUAAGGAGCAAUUCAUGAGUCAAAGACCACUUCAAUUUCUAAUUUUAUGAUGGAUAGACAAUGAUAGAAGAUAUGACUGUAAAGACAUAUUAUUUGGGCACUUAGCUUCACAGUAAUUUAUGAUGCAAUAUUAGAUGUGAUAUUUCUGUUGUCAAUCUGCAGAAUUUGUCAGAGCAAGAAAACAAAAAUCAGCAUGAUAUGAGAGUUAGUUCCUAAAAAAUCCUUAAAGAACAUCUGCAAAUGCUUACUGUGGUAAUGCCUGAAAAUUUAUAUAACUCUCUCCUGGUCAGUGCUGGCUAGUGUCACUUUGCUUUUUUUUUUCUUUUUUCCCCAUUUAUUAGUCUGUUGUUAAUUUGAAUUACAAAUAAGUCUAUGAUGGUUGGCAGCAGUUAGCAGUAGUGUAUACAGGGAUGCAAUAUGCUUCAUAACCUUUAUUAAGAAAGACUUCCAUAAAAUCCAAAAUUGCAUUAAAAAUUCUCAGUUAACUCACUGCCCAUAGGAAUUGAAUUAAUCCUUUUAUUGGUUUAUUUAAUCUGAUUAAACUUUUCAUGCUCUAGUAUCUGCAUGCAUAUUUCUAUGUGCAGUGUGUGUAUAUGCCAUAUGUAGGAUAGAAAACCCAUUUUUAAGCAAUAUUAAGCUUCCAAUUACUGAGAGGCAAACCCCUGGUUUCCAUAAAUGCAUAGCAGUAUGUGUAUAUCUGACUUUAUACAUGUGGUGGAAAGACUCUAAUGUGUAUUAGAAUGGACAGAAAAAUAUUAAUUUUUGUGUCAGAAAGCUCCCAUCUCAACUGAAGGUGACACUACUGUACUCUGUUUUGUAUCAGCACAUUAAAUCAAAUAAACAUCUAAACAAUCUUUCAUCCUACUUAAAAUAUUUAGAAGUAUGAAUGUUUUAAAGGAUUAAAAGAUGUAGUGUCUUUCCAAGGUCUGGCAGAAUGUUUGUGUCAAAGUGAGAAGCUGAAGACAAUAGCUCCUUACACUUCAGCAUUGUAACAGCUUAUGAAUAGUAAAGAAACAUUUUUCAGGGAAAGCAAGUUCCUACAAAAUUUUAAGGUUAUAAAGAAGGCACAUAGAUUUUAGGCUUUCUGGAAAGUGCCUGGGGAAAGAUUAGCACUUUCUAACAAGAUCCACUUGAGUCAGCAAAAUGAGUAAGGAGCUGCCAGAAACCAAUUCUUCCUUAUUGUCCGUUUAGACACAUAAUAGGUGAUGGGAAGUGUUGAGAUGAGGAACUCAUUUUAAAACUCAAAUCUUAGAACUUCACAGGUACUCCCUUGAAAUCCCCAGCUUGAUAUGUUGCUUCAUUAAUAGAUAUCUACAUAGACUCUCUGAAAAACAGACAGUUUUCAAAAAAAAAAAAAAUUAGGUGGUUUCUUUGGUUUCUAUUCAGGGUACAGCUGCAUUCUCCAAUUCACAUUUUCAGGCUAAGAGUGAUUCUGUUCAUAACAUAGGGUGACUAAAUUCUGCUCAAAUCCCUUCAGACACAUGGGAGUCAGGGAAAUUCAGGGUUUACUUGUAAUUCUUGAAAUGUCCCCUUUCUCUUCUUAAAGGAAAGAUAUAAGGUAAGUCAAAAUCCCAUAUCCCUGUCUUUAAUAAUUUUUCUUAUGCAGUCCUGAGCACUGAUUGCUAGAGAGUUUUUUACCAGUAGGGAGUCUGUGGGUAGUUUAGAGAGUUGGUGUAAGAGAUUUUUCUUUAAUAUUGCUAGCUGACAACUCCUUUUAUUUGAGAGAAUAAAGAAACAUGGUGUUAACUUCGCAGUAAACAGGGACUGCUGCUGAAAAUUGCCAGUUGAGCAGUGGUCAGCCCAGUGUGUCAGAAGGCAGUUGUUCUUGAUUUUUCAACAGCCAGAUUAAUGGUAGUUUUGUCAGAAAUUUUUCAUUUCCAUAGUUUCUUAUUUUACAUGUAGUUCACAGGAAAAAAAAAAAAAAGAGAGAACCAUAAAAAGAUACAGUAGAAUACCUGAUCAAUAGGUGGAAAACAGUAUUCCCUAUUCCCCCAACAUCUAUAUAUUCAGCAUUAUGUGUUUAACAGGCAGUUGUUACUAUUGAUUCAUUUUUUAAUUCACCAUCCAUUAAAAUGGUUUGCCUUUGUAUAAUGCUUUUUUUUUUGUCAAUAUGUUUCAGCAAGCUCCUUCUAUCUGAUCUGUGCAAUAGCUAGAGCUAACACAGAUCAAAGUGUAUCAGAUAUUUCACAGUGCACAGCUUAAUGAAAUGUGACUUACUUAAUUUUUAGCAAUUUAAGCACCUAGCAAAGUGUCAUCCAGGGGUGUUUGUGUCAGACAUUCAGGUGGAACACUGAGCACAUCUGACUCAGAUCUUUGAAAGAAGGGUUGGGGCUCUCCUCCCUCAUGGAACAUGAAGGGCUGGCUCAUGCAGCCACAUGUAGGCCAGGCCACUGAGGUGGAAUGAAAAUAUCUGAUUUUGAGAUGUGUGGUCAUUAAAGGCUUUUGUCUCCUACCUCAAGGCUAAGUGAUAGAAAUCCAUUACAUUUCAUGGAGCCAUCCAACACCAUCUCUCAUUCUGAAUAGUGCCCAAUGUUAUCAUAGUUGCUCUGAUUAUCUCCUGUGUCUUUAAGAGGAAAGUGUGAGAGCAGAUUUUUUUUGUUCUUCCUUUGUUGUGUUAAACCAUGAGACAAAGUCUUUAGCACUAAUUAUUUAUCACAGUGGAAGUUAUGUUGGCCUUGUACUAAGGCUGUCUGACAGCUCUCCCAUAGAACAGCAGUGGAGCACUUAGUCUAUUAUUUAAGGGAUGAGAGGAGUUAUGUUUCUUUUUUUCUUGCUUUAUUUUGUCUUUGGUGGUUUUAUUUUGCUGUGCAUUUGCUAUGCUAGUUCAGGAACCCUCGAGAAACGAUACUACUCUUCACUUCAAAUCACUCCCUAAACACAGAAGAAGUUAUCUUUUUUGUGACAAUGUGGGUUUGCUCUUGCUUGUGAGUUGACUGUUAAUCACCAGCCUGUUCAUUUCUAUUUGCUUCACAACCAGCCUAAUCAGUUCAUUACUGAGCUUAACUAAAGUGUUCUCAUCCACUCUGCAAGAAAAAUACUUCUGAAGCAAGCAGAUGGGCACUUGACUGCCUUUGCUCUCCAUGUGUACUGUGUUCUGCACUUUAGAUGGAUGGCUGGCAGUGAUCCCAGCCUCUUCCCUUCCUGAGAUCCUGUAUUGCUGCAUUUCAUGUUCAUGGCUACUGAGGUUUUACAUGUUCAUUAAAUAAUGCAAGACUAAUGUAAGACAUUUAUGCAUGCAGACACAGAAUCUUAAAAAAAAAGGUUCUUACAGUGGCUUAACUAUUAAUACUAUUGAAAAAAUGAAGACUGAAAGCAAAACACUUGCUGAAGAAAAAAGUAAGGGUAAAUUGAAUAUUUUUAUCAGUUUUUCUCUGCUUUCUAGGUCAGCAUCUCAUACAGAAGACUAAAUCAUUAUGUGAAUGCAUUUUUCUGUCUAAUUGUUUGAAAUAUAGAUAUAUUUUUAUCACUUCAGUAUUAGCCUCUACAAAUUGUCCCUCCCUCAUCCAACAGAAUUUCAGUAUUCUUUCCUCACUCAUUUAAAAAUGAAACAAAGCAACUCUGUGAAUCCCUUCACACACACACACACACACCUACAGCUGCAGGAAAAAUCUAAACAACAAAAUAUUACCAUUAUUUUAUAAAAAAUAUAUGCAGGUCAAAAGACCAGUAAUCACCACCUGUGGAUUCAAGUCCAGCAUUCUUAUAUUGUUGCUCUAGUGUUUGAUAUCCUUCCAUUAAUUAAUGAGGAGUAGCUAAAAAAGAUCCGUUUUAUUUCAGUAUCAGCGAGCUACUUUUUAGACACAGUGUUAAAAGAAUUUUAGCAUUGACACAGUAUACUGCUUUAUCACUAAUGCAGUUUUUGUUCAUGAAGGAGAUACAGAGUCUCAGAGUUUGCAUUUUGAUUAACUUGGAGGUCUUUUCCAACCUUAAUGGCUCUAUGAUUCUAUAUAAGCAAAUGCUACAAACAAGGGAAAAAGAGAUUAUGUCCCCUGUCUAUUGCUUCAGAAUGUGUGCCAUUGAAAGCUGGAUCAUAUCUAGUGUGUGGAAGAACUUGCAGAUAAAAAUAUUAUUUAGCAAUAAAGGAGUUUAGAAUGACAUAAGAUGUAGUAUCACUUCAUCUGGUAAUUUUUUCAUUUUCACAAUAAUAAUUUAGGUAAAAGAGUAACAGUAAUAAAAAAUAGGACUAUUAGCAGAACUGCUGUGUCAUAUACAGUGUAAGGUAUAAAAGCUCACUAUUCUUUGUCUGUUUAGAAAGGAAAAUACUUUUAGAAACAGAAAAUUUAGAAAUACCUUUAGAAAUAGAAACUUUCAAGAUAUUAGAAAAAUAUAUUCUAAAAAGGUCAAAAAGAAACUAUCAGAACACUUCAGAAUGAAAUGUUGAAUUUUUUGGUAGAGAAUUUCUUAGAAUUAUUUUAAUAUUAUGCCAUAUGAGAAAAAAUUGUUUCAUAGCCUCAUGUUUGUGUAAGAUUUUGAGUGUUCCCUCCAUAUUUUUUUAUAAUGGAAAACCUUUUACUACAAGUAAGUAAGAAAUACAGUAACUGUAGGCAAAUGCUUUCAGUCAAACAGAGAUGUGGUUUUUUUGUGUAGUCCAUCAUACUGACCUGGAAAAAGUGUUUGAAUGUGAAUGUGAAUUCUUCUUCAGAGAAACUCUGUUUAUUGCUCUGUAGAUCAACUUCAUCAUCUUCCAUCAUUUAAGAUCUAAUCCAGAGGUCCUAGCAUUCAACAGAAAUAUUUAUUCAUGCUUCCAUGGGCUUUGGAUUAGAAGGUGAAAAGGAGUUCCAAGUUCAUUAUUCAGUGAGAACUAGUGGAGUUUGUUUCAAAAGUGAAAGCAGAUAUUGAUCUGCUGUGUGAAACUAUUACAUGGUCUUCUAAACAUUUGGACUAAGCUCUGGUAUUGUUGUACAUCAUUCUGGCUUAAUAUGCAAGUCACAUUGGCCAACCAAGUGUGAACCUAAAAAUCCACUGAAAAUUUUAUAGCCUAAAAAUUCUGGCUAACCUCCUUAACCUUAUUUAAUGCCUAGCUAAUCAAUAAAUAUUGUGCUGGUGUGUUUUUGGGGUUUUUUUUUUGGUGAUAGAUUCUACUAGGUGUUAAUCUGAAAAGUUCUGAUUUGCUUACCCAGAGAAAACAAAGUUUCAGAAUCACUCUGAAGUGGCUCCAGUAUAAACACCUUGACCCCUUGACUCAAGGCUUCUUCACAGUACAUUGUGAGAAUGUAAUUUUUCAAACCUGAGAGUGAGAAGUGCAAUCUAGUCUGGACCUGGGUUUUUCUUGCUAUAGGAAGAGGAGAGAAAUGUCAGCGCUGCCUACUUAACAAGGACAAGAUUAGAAAAUGAGGUUCUGGUGCUUCUUCUGUCCUGCAAAAGAGAGAAGGGGAUAAGGAUGAUGUCUCAGCUGAGUCUGCUGGCUUGAGGGAGGCUGGAACUAGGUGCCCUGGAUCACAGCCUAAGCCCUACCUCAGCCUUAGAAGUGACAGAAGCAAACCUGUUUAUGUCUAAGAUUUGCUGCCAGUACGGAUAUUUGCACCAUGGCUGGGGUCGCUUUCUUAUCUGUUGUCUGAAGCAGCCCCCAACUUUGUCUGUCCCUAAAGUUUACUCUGUUCUUCCAACACUAAUUCCUUUUUUUGUUUUGUUUUGCUUUGAGAGAUAACCAAUACUCAUAUAUCUCCUUGCAAAAUCAGUUGAAAAGACACAUGUUUUUUUAAAGGCUUUAAAAAUACUUUCUGGGGGUUGAUUGUGACAUUUCAAUAGUUCCUCCUAAACUAACAUUGUAAUUACACUGCUGGGUGUAGGAAAAAUAAUAAUUAAAAAAAAAUCAGCAUGGUUAAGAGAUCUUGAAGUCCAUCAAAGAUUUCAGAGAGCUUUAGCUCCAAAAAAUCUGGGAAGGUUUGCAGGAAAAAUUCUCAAAAAUCCUUUUUACAAAGAAUCAGUAACAACUUAAUCCACAUUAAUUAGGUCAGCAACAUUAUAAGUGCAAUUAAGUAGUGGUGUUAAGUGUGAAAGUUUAACAUUUUGCUCAGAUUUUGUUGAAUAAUGAUGUACUUAAAUAAUGUUUAUUUUGACUCAGUAAACAUUUCUUUGUUAUACAGGAUUACAUAUAUGAAGCAUGGAAGGUAAAAAGUACUUAACAUUAAACUCUAAAACAAAAUCUUAAUUUGCAAAGGACUGGGGUUUUCUUAUAAUUUUCUUUUUAGAAUAACUUCUAAAUAAUUAGUGUAUCUUUGAAGUAACUGUUUUUUAUUUAUGUUCACAUUUGUUUCCAUGAAAAAGUUCGAGCAUAAUAAAAUAUUUUCUAGGACUUUUAUUUCUUUAUAUCUUUUUAGUGAUGUCCAAUCAAUGUCCAGAGAAAUCUUGUCUUUUCUAUAGAGAGAAAAUGCUUGAAGUCACACUAGGUCAUCUUCCUUCCUAAAAAAAAUAAAAUUGCCAUGAAAACCAAA
Molecule: long non-coding RNA, 16220 nt
Organism: Taeniopygia guttata (zebra finch)
Lineage: Eukaryota; Metazoa; Chordata; Aves; Passeriformes; Estrildidae
Source: RefSeq, a predicted model, not a curated record